Molecule: unclassified non-coding RNA, 3070 nt
Filed under: Hevea brasiliensis (rubber tree)
Lineage: Eukaryota; Viridiplantae; Streptophyta; Magnoliopsida; Malpighiales; Euphorbiaceae
Source: RNAcentral
GCUUAUAGCAUUUUUACCAUGAAAAACAAGGUAGGCGGAUGUAGAUGUUUUGUCAUCCAAAUUUCCUACCCAGUCAGCAUUGGAAUAAACCCGUAGGGAAUGAUCUUGAUUUGGAAUGAUCAGCAGACCGUGAGUGAUUGUGUCUUUGAGAUACCGUAAUACCCUUUUUGCAGCCUUGAAAUGAUUGAUGGAUGGGCGAUGCAUUAAUUGAGCUAGCUUAUUAAUGGUGAAAGAAAGAUCUAGUCUGGUCAACUGAAGAUACUGAAGUGCUACUAUCUGUUGGUACUCUUUGAUGUUUGUGAGAGGCACACCAUCAUUGAGAGAUAAAGACUCAGUAAGAGACAUGGGUGUGGAGACCCCUUUGGCACCUAGCAUAGAGAAUCGUUCCAGGAGAUUGGAAAUAAAUUUGUGUUGUGUAAGCAUUAAACCAUUGGAGAUAGGUGUGACUUCGACUCCCAGAAAAUAAUGGAGCAUGCCUAAGUCCUUUACUGAGAACCGUUGGGACAGCCGUUUAAUGACGAAAUUGACGGAACUAAUAGAGUUGCAAGUCACUACGAUGUCAUCUACAUAAACCAAGACAAAUAUAACUUUAUUAGUUGAACAAGUGAUGAAAAGAGAAUUGUCCGAGUAUGCUCAUUGAAACCCGCAAGAGAGCAAGAACUGACGAAGCUCAUUGUACCAAGCACGGGGAGCUUAUCGAAGAUCAUAGAUGGAUUUCUUCAAUUUACAAACAUAAAGAGGCUUAUGUUCGUCUUUAAACCCCUUCGGUUGGUGCAUGUAAACUAUCUUAGUAAGAGUUCCCUGCAAGAAAGUGUUAAUUACAUCCAAUUGGCACAAUGGCCAUUUAUAUGUCACAGCCAAAGAGAGAAUGAGCCUGAUUGUCGUGUGUUUGAUGACUGGACUGCUGUAAGUAACCUUUUGCUACUGAUCAGGCUUUGUAACGCUCAAUUGUCCCGUCAGGCUUAUGUUUUACCUUGUACACCCAUUUACAUGAGAUCACGUUUUGAGCAGGGAAAGGUGGAACUAAGUCCCAUGUAGGGUUUCUGCACAAAGCAUCAUACUCUUCAUGCAUGGCUUGGCACCUCAAGAUACUUGGCAGCUUGACGAUAAGUAGCAGGGGCUAAAGGUAUCUGAGAUGUGGAUUUGAGAGCUAGGCAAUCAAAGAUUUGUUUGGGUUUGUAGAUAUUAUUUUAUGAUCUGGUGAUAAUGCGAGGAGGUGGGGGAGUGCAGGGUGAUGUGGACGUGGUUUUAUUAGAGUCUUCAGGAGAUGAUGUAGUCAAAGAGGAUGACUGAACUAUGGGUCUAACAGGGGAUGGUGGUGCUAUAUUGUUAGACAACAAGGGUGAGACAUCAUUAGCAGAAGAAGUGACUGAAGUCUCAGUUGAACAACGUACUUGAGGCGGGCAAGGAAGGACUUCUGUGGGUGGCAAGUAAGAGUGACAACUAUGAGUUGCCAGUGUUAUGGGAGCAAUGAUAAAGUUAGGUAGAGAUGCUGAUUCAGGAGCUGAUGGUGAUGUAGGUUUGGAGGGGGUGAACCAAGAAGUCAAAGAGGUAGAAGAAACACGUGGUAACUGCAAUUAGUUUUCUCCAAAGGGAAAGCAAUCCUCAACAAAGACAACGUGGCGAGAAAUAAAAAUCUUAGUGCUUCAAAUGUCAUAACAGACAUAGCUGUUGGUGGCAGAGGAGUAUCCCAUGAAAACACAAGGAUGAGAUUUUGCUUGCAGUUUGUGUGCAGUGUAAGGUCGGGGCCAAGGCUAGCAGAGACAUCCAAAAACUUUAAGUUUAUCAGGAUUGUGUUUGUGAUGAAACAAAGUUUCAAAUUAUUUUGAAGUCUUAUUGUGGGCAGUCGAUUAAUGAGGUAUGCGGCUGUUUUGGCAAGCUAAAGACCAAAAUUUAAGAGGGACAGAGGCAUGAUGAAGCAAGAUGAGCAUAGUAAAUUAAUUCCAAAGGCCUUGUACUAGUAAUGGAUGUGGCACCAAAAGGAAAAUGGUGGCUCUCAUUACACAAGCAUGAAUUGCAAAAAGUAAAGGUGCUGUCAAUUGCAACUGGCAACUGAAAAGAGGAAACUAAGGCUUUGGUUUUUUUUAAUUGAGGAUGACCAAAGCGAGAAUGCCAAAGAUGACAAGUAGACUUCAGUGGAGCAGCAAAAUGUGAUGUAGGCUGGUUGGUGAAGGGAUGUACAACAGCUUCAGGAUAUGGCCACUCAUAGAGGUCUCCCUUGUUUUGUCUCCGGUGAAGAAGUGCCCCCGUGGUUAAAUCCUUCACAAGAUAGUACAAAGGAAAAAAUUCAACAGAUGUAUUAUUUUGAUGACAAAAUUGUGCUAUUGAAAUGAGAUUACGGCUAAUAUUUGUGGAGCACAGGACAUUUUUUAAGGUAAAAGUAGUAGGUGAUAAGUGAGAAGGAAGAGUGGCGUGACCAACAUGAGUGAUAGGUAUACCAUUGCCAUCUCCAAGAAUAAUUUCAUCAUUGCCUGAAAAAUCUGAUGUGGAUACCAAGUUAUUGGGAUCAUCUGUCAUAUGAUGAGAUGUGCCCGAAUCAAGAAUCCAGGAGUUAUUAGUGUUGGCAUGAUGGGCAGCAUAGUUUGCUCUCGCUUCCUACAAAUCAUGUCCUUUAGAUCGACAUACCUUAGCCACAUGGCCAUACCUGUCACAAAGUUGGCACUGAACUUGUUGUUGUCCUCUAUGUCACUGCUGAAAUUGUCCUUGGCGUUGCUGAUUUGACAUGCUAAAGACACUAAUUUGCUGUUGAGUUUGGCGAUUACUAGUGUUGGGUGAGCAAAAGUUGUUGGAUCCUCACUGAUUAAAUUGAGCUAUUAUGAUAGGAACCUCCUUCUUUGGUUCAAUUUGCUGCAAAAAAAGUUCAUGAGCAAGGAGUUUGUCAUAUAGUUCUGCAAAAGUGAUAGGUGUAUCCCUAACACAUAUAGCUGCCGAAAACUCCUUGAAAUCAGAACCAAGGCUGCUUAAGACCUUGAUAACAAGUUCUUCAUUAUUCACGGGUGAACCACUGGAGGAGAGAUCAUCAGCUAUCAUUUUAAUCUCCCUCAUAUAAUUUGUAGUAGAUUUAUCUCCU